RNAcentral lists this long non-coding RNA (369 nucleotides) under Monodelphis domestica (gray short-tailed opossum). RNAcentral describes it as "lncRNA (ENSMODG00000031583.2)". Lineage: Eukaryota; Metazoa; Chordata; Mammalia; Didelphimorphia; Didelphidae. The record is from RNAcentral.
CAGUCCAGGACAUCGGGGUAGAAGGACCUUCCUAUCCAACUGCAAUGAUUUGUGAGCGCGUCUUCCCGGGGUGACACAAAUUCCCGUGUGUUUGGUCUCUCCAGGUGCGCUGCGGCCAAUGUCUUUGAGCUUGCUUUGUGGACUACUUGGCAAAUGAGACAAAACAGGAAAACUAGUUUGGGGGCCGUGCGUGCUUUCCGAAGAUUCCUGAGCAUUUGAAGAAUCUACUUUGGUAAGAAGAAGCAUUUGCAAAUGCAAUAUGUGGGAGGUACUUGCAUAAAUUUCAUUAUUUGUUGGUGAAAUAUCAACAGCUGGAGUGUUAGAUCUAGAAUCUCCAAAUUAAAACAAGCCCUGCUUAUUUCAAAUGAA